RNAcentral lists this ribosomal RNA (745 nucleotides) under Porteria sp. 8 SC-2022a. RNAcentral describes it as "partial large subunit ribosomal RNA". The record is from RNAcentral. Lineage: Eukaryota; Metazoa; Arthropoda; Arachnida; Araneae; Desidae.
CUCGAAAUCCUGUGGCGAGAGGAUUCAGUCUGGGGCGGCGGACGUGGCGGGCCGGAAAACAGAGCAGGGCUUCCCCGAACGGGGGCCGUCCGGCCGCACGGAUCACCGCAGCGCCCGACGCAUUUGACUCUCGUCCGAAGGACGCCGCAGCCGGUUGGGUAGCGCAAGCGCGACGGCCUGAGGGGCGGAAAAUGGAAGGUGGCCGGUGGCGCGCCCCCACGGUGGGCCGCCGGUUGUUAGCCGUUCCGCCAGUGGCUCGUCACCCGACCGAGGUGUCGCGAGGCCCCUAGGGGCCCAGGCGUCUCCUGUCCCUCCAGGACAGCGGGGCAGAGCGCCGCAGUUGGCUAUCGCAGUCCCGUUCGCACCCCACAAGGGGUGGUCGGGCGAGCGUGCGCCUCCGAUAGCGGCGCCGGACCCGUGCGGAGGCYGGAGGCUGGCGGCGAGUAGGUCGGUCACCCACCUGACCCGUCUUGAAACACGGACCAAGGAGUCUAACAUGUGCGCGAGUCAAUGGGUCUUGAACAGGCCCAGAGGCGCAACGAAAGCAAAGGCCGCGCACCACGCCGGCCGAGUUGGGAUCCCCGGCCACGAGCCGGGGCGCACCAGCGACCCGUCCUAUCCGGUCCGCCGGUUGGGCGGAGUACGAGCGUACACGUUGGGACCCGAAAGAUGGUGAACUAUGCCCGGGCAGGACGAGGCCAGAGGAAACUCUGGUGGAGGUCCGCAGCGGUUCUGACGUGCAAAU